AUAAUUGAGUCAUUAGUUGGAGCUUACUGGGGUUAUGUUUCUAUGAUGAAAAAAGCGUACAGAACUAAAAUAAUGCAAAGAAGGCUAUCAUUUCAUAGUUGACUUGACCCUUCUACCGUUAAUGCAUUACACAAAAAAAUAUUAUAAUACAUUCAAUCAAAAAACGAAUUACAUAAAACAAAAAGUUUCCAUCGCCAAGUACAUCAUUUACACCACUUGUAUCUCAUAUUUUAAACAAAAAAAACAAUUCCAGAAUCACACUAGAAUAAACAAAGCAAAAGAAUAAAAAUGUCAAUUUGACAACAUACUUGUAGGGUUAUAUUAUGUGGAUUUGGUACAUAUAUUACCAAAAAGAAUAUUUUUCAAGUAUAAGUUGAGUUGGCCAAUCAAAUUUCAGCUUCUUGGGAAGCUUGUUUUUCAGGAGCAGAGAUGGACAAUUUUCUUCCUUUUGUAGAUUCUUUGCCAUUUGAAAUGGAUGGAUUUUUAACUGAGACAACUAGUUUCAUAUGUCCCAAAUUUGUAGUUUUAGUUAUCUUGGCAAUUUGGUUGGAGUGUGAGAUUUUUGGAUUUACGGGGUUUUGAACUCUGGUCUCCCAUGGUCUAAUUGCGAUCCAACGCUCCAUCCAACUCCAACCCCAGCUAUCCUUGCCAAGAUCAUAGUAUGCUUGUCCAAAAUAUCGAUUUGAAUUGGCUCUCCACUAAAACAUGCAUAUUGUUAUAAUCGAAAUAACCAAAUGUUGUGUGAAAGUUUAAAAAGUGAAUCCUGACUGACGAUAAAAGUAAGUUUAGUUGGCCAAUCAAAUGUCAGCUUCUGGGGAAGCUUGAUUCUCAGGAAUGGACAACUUUCUUCCUCUUGAAAUGGAUGGAUUUUUAACUGAGACAACUAGUUUCAUAGGUCCCAAAUUUGUAGUUUUAGUUAUCUUGGCAAAUUGGUUGGAGUGUGAGAUUUUUGGAUUUACGGGGUUUUGAACUCUGGUCUCCCAUGGUCUAAUUGCGAUCCAACGCUCCAUCCAACUCCAACCCCAGCUAUCCUUGCCAAGAUCAUAGUAUGCUUGUCCAAAAUAUCGAUUUGAAUUGGCUCUCCACUAAAAUAUACAUAGUGUUAUGAUCGAAAUAACCAAAUGUUAUGCGAAAGUUAAAAAAGUGAAUCCCGGUGGCUGUAAAAGAAAAAUAUACUAUACAGACACAAAUUAACCUAUAUCUACGUAUUGAGAGGAGCAAUCAAUUAUUUCUAAAAUGAUAGAUAGAAGAGUGUUGUCAUAG
RNAcentral lists this long non-coding RNA (1263 nucleotides) under Nicotiana benthamiana. Its description in RNAcentral is "long non-coding RNA (NBEN_LNC035681)". Lineage: Eukaryota; Viridiplantae; Streptophyta; Magnoliopsida; Solanales; Solanaceae. The record is from RNAcentral.